This is a non-coding RNA of Zootoca vivipara (common lizard), 21880 nucleotides long. NCBI's taxonomy places the organism in Eukaryota, Metazoa, Chordata, Lepidosauria, Squamata, Lacertidae. The record is from RefSeq and is a predicted model, not a curated record.
GUGGAAAAUUGCCUCCAUGUUGUCGCUGGUUUUGGUCUGGAAGGUACUAGCAGUGUGUGUGGUGCCAUGCAAGAGAAGCUCAAAAAGUAAAUUCUCUGCCCCAGGGGGUAUCCAGUUUAUAAAAAAACCAACCCCCCCAAAAAAACCCAUUAGAUCUGUCAGGCCUGAUCAGAGGCCCAAGAAGGUACUGCUGAGACAAGGUAAAUAAUAACUGGUGGUGUCCCCCUCCCCUCCAGUUUUCUCGAUUGCACAUCAACUGGAUCAAUAUUGGCCCGGCAGCUCUUUUUAACCUCUAGUUCUGCCAGGAACAGUUUUAUCCUUAAUGAGAAAGGCUGCCCCUUCUGCUCAAAUGUUGCCUUUUACAAUAAGGAGCCAUUCUGUCUAAAGGUGACCUUUCUAUUUCUGUUUAUUUCUUUAUUUUUUUGCAAGGCCUACAGAAAAUAUUUUCCCAUCAGUGCCAAUAAGGGUUUUCUGUGGGUUGCUAUGGGCAGUCUUGCUCCACCUUUACCAGUCCUUUUGCUGACAUCUUAGAUGUGCUGAAAACGAGGAAGUAAACAAAAGCUGACAUGAUCUUUUCAGGCCUCAUUAGAAAUGCAUCAAGGGAAAUAGACCCUCACUGAACAGGAUGUGAUGGGGGAAGGGAAGCGGUAAAGUCUCUCUGUGUGUGUGGUGCUUUCAAUUUGAAUGUGGCCAUUCAAACAAUAGUGGGGGGAUGGGGUGUGUAGUGGUGGUCUCUGAGGUUGUUUGUCACCCUGGGAAAACAAUAGGACCUUCAAAUCUUCUAACUGCUCCGCAAACAAUUGGGAGAAUAGGAGGAAAUCUGCUAAAGCUGCAGGUCAUUUGUAUAUAGUUAGAGAUAAGCACAGGCCUAUUAGCAGGUAUAAAAGGGUUCUCUCCCUGUGGAUAAUUCUUCUCAGUGGUCAGCCAGUGCUGCAAAUGCUGCUUGGCAACUCCUGCCCCCACAUUGCUUUCUUUAUUAUUAUUUUAAAUUAAAUAAGCCUCCCUUUGCUCUCUGGCUUGCCCUGGGAACCUUUUCGGCAGGCCCAACCCCUCUGCUUCUCUCCCACAAGAGUGGAGCAGAGGGGGAAUCCAAUGGACUGGGCGGCUGAGUGCUCUGAAAUCUGGUUUCGGGCAGCUUUUUCUCCCAGGGGUUGGGAGCCAGGCCUUGAUUACAAUGCAGCUCUCCUAUUGUAAGGCUUGUCAAUGUCAACUCUCCAUCUUCCUCCCUCCUUUCCCUGUCCUUUCUGGGCCAAGCUGCUGAGAAGGGGGGAAAUUCCAUAUGACCUCCGUCCUGCUCUCAUCAUUGCCUUGGCUUCAUGCUCUGGAGGGGAGAGGUGGGAGGCCAUUUCUCCUUUCUGAACCAUCCAGAUGGGAAGGCUUAUCCCAGUGACAAGCCAUUCUUUAGGGUCGGGAGAAAGGGAGUUUCAUUGGCAUGGCUGCCUAAAUGCCCAGCAGGUUCAGGGUAGCAUUAUGUCCCAUCAGUGGAACAGAGUUUGGGGCAGCGAGGGUGGGGUUUGUGUGUGUGGAGAAAGGCAAAGGAGAUAUUUGUAAUUCAAAUAUCUGUGGCUUUUGGAUAUUAAGUCGAAACCUGAGAUAAUGGCAUUAUCGGUUGGUGUUGCACAUGCAGAAAUUGGGGGAUUGGGACAGAAUAUCUCCAUAAGGAUCCAUGAAGGUUGACUCAGGGAUGCAUCCUCAGGGUCAUUCAAUGUAGUUGCAGCAACAUGGCCUGGCUAGUAGUGGAAAAAGGUGACUGAAGACUGUUAAAUGAAUAGAUUUCACCCAUAACCGCAGACACACACACCACUUCCAUUUACACAUGCUUAUGGUUCUAAUCUGCAUUGGUGAAGGAGACCUUGGAAGUAGGGAGGGAGAUUUUACGCACAUUAAUUCAGAUUUACUUCAAGGAUGUGAGCCUGAAUAUGUGGCAUAAGUCAAAACAGGUAGGCAGGUGUCUUUCCCAAGCCUAGCUGCCUAGGCCUACCCCCCCCCCCCCGCUCCUCUCCGCUUAGGCCCCUGCUUCUUCUUUCUGACCUGAUCCUGUUGCCUUGAAACCUCAAAGCGGCGCAAACAGGCCCUCAGCUUCUCUUCAGGCAUGGUUGUGUAGGAUAAAUAUUUAACAACAAAUGAACAGUGGCGGCUGUAAAACAGGGAUAACUUCCUGUGUAUUCUAACAGUGCCAAAAUGACUCACGAUUUAGCCAUUAAAUCGGAGUGGAGGGAGAGAGAGAAAGGAAAGAAAGAAAGAGAAAGAGGAGUUGUAAAUAAAAUUUGCUAUCUCAUUAUUUUCCAAUUGGACAGCCAGGUCCUUGUGGGGAUUUUCGGGGCAGAAAGAGGAGCCUGUGAGAUUGAACAGGAAAGCUUUUCCUCUCCCCCCCCCCAGUUUUCGGGGGGGGGGGGAGGGGAGCCAAAAGAUCUCCUUGGAGGUGGCAGCCGCUCCACCACGCCCACACAGGAAGAAGGAAGAUCUAGCUAGGCUGCUAGGAAGCUCAAAGGGUUGGCUUCUCCCUUCCCCCUCCUUUCUUUCUAUUAAUAGGCACCCAUGAGGGAGAAGAGGGAGGAAUGCUGGGUUAAGCAGAAAAGAUGCCUUUUUCCCCCCAGAUCUGGGAGAGGCCUGGUGAUGACGUGACUGGUGAAUUGAGACUGGCAAAUCCCAGUGGCAAUUCAGUUUAGAGAGAGCUUGUUCUUAAUGAGUCAAUUUUAAGGAAUUUUUUAGCUGGGUCCACACCCAUAUUUCUGCUAGAAGUUUCUGUUUGGGGUUUCUUUCUUUUGCUGGAGGCUUUUUAAUGUGGAUGCUACGGCCAAUCUCCUUUUAUUCUCUCCCUGCUUUUAGUAGUUGGGCCGCAUUCUGCUCGGGUUGCGCAAAAGUCCUUCCAGAAUCUCUACUGGGGAUUUGCCUGAAUAAUCAGAGACGGCGGCUGAACUCUGUGUCCUUGUUGUGUUGGGAUGGGCAGAUCUGGGUUCUGUUCUCUCUUCUGCUGGCAAAGAGCUUGUCCAUUGUACAGUGUAGCUUGUGUGCUUCUCUUGGGUCUGCCAAACCUACCACCUUUUGGGUGGUAAGCUACUUUAAUGCACGAAGGCUCACUUGUCUCCUAUAGCUCUUUUUAAAUACCCCUGAGCUUGUGUUUGCCACUUCCCACUGAAAGUAAUGAGGUUUUUAAAGUUGAGGCUUCCCAUGCAAUAAUAUCUGAAUAGAAUAUUUGCUUAAGCUCCGAAAGAGCUGAGCUACUACAUCACUCUGCUGCUCCCUGAAAGAGCACUGCUAGCUUAGAGGUAUGCCCAUCCCAGUUGUCUUUUCACAUAAUAUGCUUCUGAAUGGAGCCAAAGUAUACGUAGUCGCUCUUGCUCUUGCACAUUCCUUUUCAAGAGUGUCCCUUUCCCCCUGCCCUUCCUUUGUUUUCCUCCACUGUUGAAAUUUCAGCUGUAAAUGAAGUGGGGGCAGGGACUGGAUUCUCUUGCUUAGGCUGCUUCUUCCUAAAGCACCAUGUGUGUUGUUGGUGAUAUAGCUGCCAGUAUCUGAUGCAGUCUGCACCUCUUCCUGUCUUGAGUGCUGCUACAUUCCCAGUUUCCUUGCUUGAAGGUUAGCACUUUAACAUUAAAGAAGCAUCAGCCUUGCCACUGUGUCUCUCAUGGCCACCUUUGACUAGCAUCCUGAGAUGUUCCUCCUCCUGACUGUUGUUCUGCUCUGCAAGAAAAGCUCUCUCUCUCCCCUUCCCUCUCUGUGUGUGUUUGUGUCACUCAAACACCCCCCCCCCUUUUUGAAAAAUAAAAAUCCCGUUCCUAUAUGCUCCUAUGUGGCAAUUUCCCUGGAAAACUCUCUUAUUUUUUGGACAUCCAUGUGAUUUUAGGCUGCACAGAUUUCAUUGUGCAUAUUAAGCAAUCCCUAUCAUGCUUUUUUUUACAAAAGAAAAACCAAUCCUGUCCUAUGAGAAUGAGGCAUUAUUAAAUUAUUUAUAUUAUAACCCAGUUUUAGUAUAAAACUGCCCCUUUAUUCUGCCCCUUCCGCUUUCCCUUCCAGGCCAUUUUCCAUUUCAAGGGCUCCCCCCAUGGACCUAACGUUCAGAAGUGAAAUGAGGCGCACUGGUACAAGGGCCCCCUAAAUUGUGAACUAGCAUUAGGAGAGGUAUGGGGAGCUGUAGUCCAGCAGCUCCCAUAAUCUCUGAGCAGUUGCCAUUGUGGCUGUGGAUGAUGGAUGUUGGGAGACUAGCAAUGUUUGGAGGUUGGCAGGUUCUCCCAUCCUGCUUUAGGAAAAGGCAGCUAAGAUCUAAGGGAGUAGCAAAGAUUAAAAACAAAUGGUUGACCUUUAAACAAUGGAAUUCAUGAGUGGUAAAGUUUAGGGUGCAUCUUGUUGGAGUGUUUCUGCCAAUACUGGAGGGCUAUUUUAAUGGCUUAAUUUGGGGUAAAGAAGUGGCAGGUACAACAGCAGAUGGGAGACACUUAGCUGGUGGGAGGAGAAAUCAAAUGCAAACUCCUGGAUUGUUGCCAGGUAUGUUAAAGGGCUUAUAUACACUGCUGAGCCUUUAGUCAAGCGUUGUGAGCAGGUUUGUCUCUUUUUAAAUGAAUGAGAGCCUAAGGAGAGCCUGUUGGAUCAGGUCAAAGGUGCAAGCUAGCCCAGCACUGUGUAUUCACGGGGACCAACCAGAUUGGGGGGUUGCUGUGUCAAGAUGCUUGCAGUACUUUACAGUUCUGCAAAAAAUAAAUAUGGACUGCCCUGUUCCAAACAUUUAGGAAGAGACAUAGCAUCCACCAGGCAUGCAGAUGGUCCCAGUUUCAAUCCUUGGCCUCUCGGGGGAGUGUUGAGAAUGUCCCCUGUUUGAAACCUUGAAGAGCUGCUCCCAGUCAGUCAGGCUACACCAGGGUGGCAACUUUAGCCCGAGGGAUCGAAAGUGACCCUCCACACGCCUCUCUAGUUUCCUCACACCUGACCAGCCCUGCUCCGUGCCCCCUUCAAGUACUUGCUGGAAUGUGUCCUAGAACUCUUGUGAUGUGCCUUGCUUGGAUGGAGAGAGGGGCAUGUAGAAACCUUUUGACUUUUGUGCGGCUGGAAUGUUGUGUACUGUAGAGAUGAGCUGCCUCUGUUGCUCCACCCACUUGGCUUCCUGCCCAAAGCUCCCCUGGUGCAGAAGAUGCUGAGCCAGGCAGGCCAGUGGUCUGUCUCUGUAUUAUGCAGCUUCCGAUGCUCCUAGAAAACCAAGGGACAUUUAUUGUGCUUUAGUCAGGGGCUGCUUCGCGUAGCAUUUGUGUGCGCUGCAGUAAAUGUGUGAAAUGUGUAAGGGAGAUGCUGUCAGGGAAUGGCAAAGCUGUGUUGCAAACAUAAGGAUGCUCCCUCCUGAGGCUCAUCCAAGAGAAGGGGCCAGCGAUUUAUGGGGUUUUGUGCCCACCCGUGAAAGGACCAGGAUUGGCUUAAAGAGGCUGGCACAGUGGCAACGUCUGUGCAGGAGAAGUCACAGGUUGCUUGGCCUGGGUGGGCGCAGGGCAGAUGUGUUCUCCAAGCACACUGGGAGAUGGUGUUUCCUGUGUCUGUCUGUACGUGUCUGGAAACCUGCACCUUUCACACUUUACCACAGCAAGCGGUGGUGUGUUGAUGUUGCAAACAAGAUUGUCAUAGAAUUGUAGAAUUGAAAGGGACCAUGAGGGUCAUCUAGUCCAACAGCCUGCAAUGCAGGAAUCCUUUUACCCAAUGUAGGGCUCAAACCCACAUUCCUGAGAUUGAGUGUUUCAUAAGAUAAGGUACGGUAAGAGAAAUACUUUAUUGUCAUUGUACAUAGUACAACGAAAUUGAGUGCCAUCCCAUAAAACGAAACAAAAACACAAUUACAGCCACACACAAUUACAGCCAAUGUGAAACAGUUUUUUCUAAUUCCCUGCAGUUAUUUUCCUUUUCGUUGGUGGCUUCGGGGCAUCAAGAGAAAUGGUGACAACCAGAAUAAUUUUUUUUUAUAAAGCUAGUUAGCACCAGAAUCGUGAUAAAACUGCAGGGGCUUGUCCUCUUAGGAAGUAGCAGAGCUGAUAGUAAAAUACCGGGAGGUGGUACUUGUGUCAACCCUAAGCAAGGUGAAAAACAAGCAUGCAUAUUUUAAUUAUGCACCCUCUUGCACACUGUCUGCUGGUAAACAGAACUCUGAGUUUUGCUUGUUUGAUACACAGGUCUAAUUUCAACACGUCAAAUUCCUGCCUGCCCUUUACGAGAAACUGUGUUGUCUUUGCCUGGGGGAAGGCCUCUUACGGUACAUACAGACUGGUAUGGGCAAUUUUCCCAAACAGACACAAUAGAAACCUGUGACAAGCAGAAGCCUUUUAAAAAGUUGUGCAAUAAUUUUACAUACUGUUGACAUUGAGCAUGAUGUAUAGGAAUAGCUUGCACCUAUAAUGUGGAUACUGUAGUGGGAUUGCAACUUCCUCUCCCAUUUUACCCUGUCAAAAAGGUUGUGAUCAGAUAAAUUUGGACUUCAUCUUUGCUUUUCGGUUUCCACAAUUCUAGUUUAUCCAGGAGAGUAAAAAUAUUCUAAGCAGGGGUACAGGACUCUAAAAAAGAAACCGACUGCUGCCUAGUUCUGUUCUUAGGCCUUCUUGAAAGAUCAGACUUCUGGACUAUUUCUGGUUGCUGGGAGUUAACUCUUGUAGAAAAGGCCUAUAACCUAUUUUGGCCUGUUGCUGAAAAUGCAAGUAGGGGGGAUCUCCAUUUCACUGCUAAUUUGAAUGUUCAGUGUCAUCACUAGUGGGUUAAAUUGAGGCAAAGGAUUUUUUAUCAAACUACAAAAUGUUAGUUCGCUUACUAAUGCUAAGAUAUCCACGUUAUCUGUGACUGUUUCUUGGUUCGCUACCCCACUACAGGUGUUAAUACUCUCAACAAUGUCACUACCCUGCUUUUGUAGAAGAUGUGCCUAUUUAACAUACAUUUAAGGUCUUAAUUAUUACUGCCUAUAACUUUGUUUCUCAUUGCCGUUCAGUUUUCUCCUUCAUAUACCUGCCAACUAAGAUUUCAACUGACGAAGUGGGCUUCAGUCCACGAAAGCUUAUGUUAUAAUUAUAAUACAUUUGCUAGUCUUUGUUUUUGCUGCAGGAGACUAACACUUCUGUUAGUCUGGAAAUUUUUGCAUGUUUCUGUUGCUUUUGACUCUGAUUUCUUAUUGUGGCUUUUAAGUUCACCAUGGAUAAAUCUGUUAAUUAAAUUGCAUUUGUUGCAGGCACCAUCCCAAGGUGCAUCAUUAGCAAAAAACUUUAGCAGUGUAUCAACAACCAUGAUUCACAAUUAAGAUAAUUUUUGAGCUGAACUCUUGUAAGGGCUUGGUUCAGUAGUCUACCUCAUUGCAAAACAAAUAAAUCUUAAUUGUGAAUAUGGCCCUUCAUGAGACACUAAUGAAUAAACCAAUUUGCUAGAACAAUACCUCCCCCAAGCAUGUCAGAACUAUUAAGAAUGAAAGUUUCUUGCUGCUAAAAGCUACUAACUGCCCUAAAAAGGGCUAUGGAAAAUAUUUAAAAUUCCAAGGCAUCAGAAUCAAAAGUUUUCAUUAGCAGCAUUGGAACUUUAUGGUUGUGGAAUACAUCCAACCUUGACUUCUGGUGUAGGAUUGGGCCAAAGUGGGAAUCCUGCAGCCAUUUCCAUUAGCUUAUAGGGUCCAAUGCUGGAGCUUCUGACCUUUAGUCUUGGGUCCUUUAUAUCUUUUGGGCUAAGCACAGAACCUUUGUAUCAGAGAUGCUGGCUGCUUUGGGGCAGUUGCCUACUUUGGAAGCUCCUGGUUUGAAGCAAUCAAAAACCAUAGUUUGCCAAUUUGGACACAAAUUAAGCUUUAGUUUGCAGUUAAAACAGGAAGUAAUGAAUCCCCACAUAUGAGGGGUGGGAGGAGCCUUGGUUUGGAGGAUCAACAUUGAAGUCUGCAGAGUUUGCUUGUGGCUUGGCUUCUGUUGCCUUUACAAAAUUUAUUUCUUCAUCUUUGAGCCAUUUCCUUCUUGAUGCCUUGCAUUCAUAGUGUUAAGGGAGCUACAUCUUUACUGCGUAUUUUGCUUGCUGACGCAUUGUGCUGAGGCUGCAUGCACACUAUGAAUUUAAAGCACAGUCGCUGCUCCCAAGAAUUCUGGGAGCUGUAGUUUGUUCAGUUCAGGGUGCUUAGAAUCGUAGAUCUCUUAUGGGUAAACUACAAUUUCCAGAAUUCUUCCUUCCUUUCUUUGUAGGUGAGGGGAAGCAAGGUGCUUUAAAUGUAUAGUGUGUGCACACAGCUCAAUGUAUGUGUUUCUUUAAAAGUCGGCCCUUGAAGUUGCCUACAAUGAUUUGCAGCACUGAACUGGUUUAGUUUUCUUUUUGCAAAUUUGCAGCCAUUGAAGUGUUUUGUUUUGUUUUAAAAAAAGAAAGACCUUUCUCAAUGCUUUUAAAAAUGAUCGGAAAGACUACAGUAUGAAAUAAACACACCUUUAAAAAUUCCCAGUUCUCUUUAGGUGUGCCUAUACUUUUACAGCAAAUGCAGUAGACUUAAUGAUAUGGUAUAGGCACCAUUUAAAAUGCCAUUCUUUAGCCACAUGUAGUUCCUCUUAAACUUUGUCCUUUAAAAGAGGGGAAAGGAGCCCCUCAGGCUGAGGGGAUAUUGCCUUAAGGACUCUCUAGACCAGGGGUCCCCAGACUUACCGGGCUUUGGGCCAGUUCCCACCGCGCCGAUCGCGCGGCGGGCCGGGGGAGUGCUUCCAGGUCGGAAAAAGCGCCGGAAAUCGUUUGUGCGCAUGCGUAUGGGCCUCCCCCGACCCGGAAGUGCACCAGAAAUGACCUCUUCUGGGUCGGGAGAGGCCCAUACGCAUGCACACAAAGGAUUUUCGGCGUUUUUUUCCGACCUGGAAGAGUGCCGUCGCGCUGCGCGCCGUAAGAGCGGGCGGCGGCAGGGGUCGUCGCGGGCCGGAUUGGGAGGCCAAUUGGGCCGCAUCUGGCCCCUGGGCCGUAGUUUGGGAACCCCUGCUCUAGACCACACCCCUUGCUAGCCCUGCUUCUUGCCCCUCUGUGCUUUUGCUUUACUCUGAAUGUGUCUUUGAACUGUGAUAGUGGAAAAUAAAGAGAUAAUAUGUGUUCCAGCCUUUUGCAUGGCUGGAAUGUAGUCUGCUCUCACAUGCAUUGCUUUGCCCACUUUGGUCUCUGGCUCUCCCUAUCACCUGCAUGCAGCCCACCCAAAGUUUCACCACAAGGGAAUGCAGUCUUUGGCUAGAAAAUGGUUCCUCACCCCUGCAUCGCAGGGAAACACCCAACUUUAAAAUUAGGUAUGUGAAACAUUUGGCCCUCCCAGAUAUUGCUAAACUACAACUCCCGUCUUCCCUGGUAAUUGGCUAAUCUUGCAGAGGCUGAUGGGAGUUGAAAGUUCAGCAACACCAGGGAGGGAGGGGAGGCAAAGGUUUCCUAGGUAAAGGUAAAGGGAACCCUGACAGUUAGGUCCAGUCGCGGACGGCUAUGGCCAAGGGAGCCGGUGUACAGCUUCCAGGUCAUGUGGCCAGCAUGACUAAGCCACUUCUGGCGAAACAGAGCAGCGCACAGAAACACCAUUUACCUUCCCGCCGGAGCGGUACCUAUUUAUCUACUUGUACUUUGAUGUGCUUUCGAACUGCUACCUUCUCCUGCCGCGGCCGGCAUUGCUGCUGUGCCUAUUACUAUGUCUUAUUUUCGGGGUAUGGCUUAUAUUCCUUGAAUGCUUAAAAAUCCUGCUACAGCUUAUUUUAUGGCUACGUCUUAUUUUCGGAGAAACAGGGUAGGUUGGCAGGAGCAGGGAGGAGCAACAGAGCUCACCCCAUUGUGGGGAUUCGAACCGCUGAUCUUCCGAUCGGCAAGCCCUAGGCUCUGUGGUUUAGACCACAGCGCCAGCCACGUCCCUACUCUCCCUACUCUGCCUCUAAAGCCAUAAUAUUUGUAAGUUGUCUUUUAAAAGUAAAAAAAAAUAUUCUGUGCAUGAAAUCCCUUCCCCCUCUCAGGUUUAUCACUUGUGUCUGGGAGUGUAAGCAUUUUGUACACCAAAGCUUUUAUGAAAGCUCAGUAUUUGCCUCAUAGAAGGGAAAUUGUCUUGCUGCAUCAGUUCUGCUGUGGGUAACAUGCAGGAAUGAUGCUUCUGACUCUGAAAUGCCCUAUAUACCUUGAUGUAUCUGUUCUGUAGGAGACAAAGCACCUUCCUUCACAUUGAAUGAAAGGGAUGUGAAAUUAACAUGGGGAUGGGGGCAAUGGGUCUACCAGACAGAAAUGCAUUUUUGUGAGGGAAGCAUGCCAAAAGGAGCCAUCUUUGGGGAGAGAUCUUGAACUGAAUACUUCAGCAUUGUAAAUGAGUAGCAAGGAAGGGAGGGUGGGCAGAGAGAGAGAGACCGCCAGAAACCUCAGCAUGAGCAAGCCUAGCAUGUUUUGCCUAUCUGGGCAGAGCAGGAGUUAGCUAACUCGCUGCAAACAUCCUGUCCUCUCACCUAUAUCACUUGGAGCAACUGACCACUGCAAGCCCUACCACCACUGCUGGUGGCAGGAUAACUCAGGUGGUCUUUUUUGCUUGAGUCCUGGCAGGAGUGCAUUGUUGUUGUUGUUUAGUCGUUUCCGACUCUUCAUGACCCCAUGGACCAGAGCACGCUAGGCACUCCUGUCUUGUUGAAAAGGAGUCUUCUUCACUUUUGGUGUUUUAAAAAUGCAGAGUUAGUCCAGCUCCACUCAAACUAUAGGGCAGCCAAGCAGCGAGAGAGAAAACAGGAUCCUUAACAAGAGACUGUCUCUAAGGGGCUCCUGAAGCCCAACCACUAUACUUGAAGGGUGGUACUUAAAAUCCCCUUAAAAAGCAUAGAUGGCGGUGUCAUGUUCUCUGCAUAGGCAUAAUCUUCCUCUUCCCCAGCCUUCCCUGUCUUUGUUUUUCUUUCUUUCUCUUUUUUUGUGAGCUAACAUACUUGCACUCAUGAUUAUAAUCUUGCAUGGGCGGUAGGAGCAUAAGUUUCCUCCGGCUGGCCUGUAAACCUGCUGCCAUCUGCUUUCCCAGCUCCCUUUGCUGCUAUGCCUGUCACUUUAAAUGUUAAGCUGCAGGCUUUCUCUUCCCUCUUCCCCAACGCAGCAGCAGAAGCUAUUCCAGUCCUGCCUCUCCCUCCCUGAGAGAGGCCCAGCCCUGCUGCUGCUCUCAAGUCCCUUGGCCUGCAGCACCCUUGAUGUUCCCCUGCUUGCGUUGCCAAAGGAGUGCUGUUGUAUUCUGAGAUUUUUCUCUACUGGGAAUGCUGACCAAAUGCUUUAAAAAAAUUGCAAUGACUUAUUAGGCCUUGGGUGAUCUCUGCAAAUCUGCCAUCAACCACCAAGCCCCUCCUCUCUUUUCCACCCCCUCCUCCCUCCUUCCUCCUCUCUUCUCCACCCCCUCCCUCUCUGACUGAUUGGUCUGGACAGCUUCUAAAUUCUUUAAGCUGGGUUUUUGUUUUCAUGGAAAUUUAGGGAGGCAGGAAAUUAAAUUUAUGAGAUAGCAGGAAGGACUGCUUCAUAGGAAUCUGAGAGAUUAUGGUCUCUUUUUAACUAUUGCAGAUACUGAUGACAUUGCAACCCAGGGUCUUAGUAUGCCAUAAGGAUGUAAGUGCCCUGGGAAUUCUGACCUCGGCUAAAAAUAGAUUUUGCAUUUCUCCGGGGUUGCACUGGUUCUUCCCGUCUUUUUAGUUGUCAUGGCCUUUUUUGUAUGGUUUCAUUUUAGAUAACUAGCCUUUGCUUACCCCACCCUCACAGGGUGUUUUUUUUUUUUGUAUUGAGUCACUAAGCAAAAUAGCCAGGCUUCAGUGCAUGCUAGGAAGGGAAGGUUUGUAACUACGGAUGGAAUCAAAUGCAGAGUUUCAUGAAACAAAUAAGAUGCGUGCACAGGUGAAGGGUGUUUGCAUGUGGCAGGAGUUGGCGGAGGUGGCAGCUUCUGAAUUUGGCAGUGCUAUACAAUAUAGAUGAUUGUUUAUCCCUGUAAGUUAGGCCUAUGAGGUGUGUGUGUGUGUGUGUGUGUGUGUGUGUGUGUGUGUGUGUGUGUCCAUAUCUAUCUAUCUAUCUGUCUGCACUUAAAAAAAAAAACUUAUCCCUUCAUCAUUAUACCAUCUGUGGGAGAGGGAGAGCAUAUGGGAGUAAAAGUGAGCACCCUCAAGUGACCUUGUGCGUAGAUGGGGAGGACGGGGAUUGUAGCUUGUGGCUUUCACUUUGUGUGCCCAUUCUCAUCAAGCCAUGCUUGAAUGGAGUGCAAAGCAGAGAGUGGUCGUCUACUGCCAUCACUUAACAUUUGCGUAGAGCUCAAAGAUAUGCUAGGCACUAUUUGACAAGGUGACAAUUUGGCCUUCCCCCUGGAAUAACACUGGCUCCCUUUUGCUGUCUAGACCUACAGAUCUACGCACAGCUCUGGAAGCCUAUAGAAAAUACCUUUGGCAGUGAUAAAUUUUGGUGCUGUGUCAGUCUGACCCUGGGUUGAUCUAUACCAUUUAGUGCAACCGUUGGAGGAGCAAAGGCAUGGACGAACCAUUCUUUCCCCUGUAUGAAUCCUAUUGAAAAGGCCAAAAGCACCUUAAUUUAAAAGUCUAAUUUCCUCCUCCUGAACAGAGGAACUCGAUGGCAAAGCUUGACAUUCUCGCUGACCUCCCACUAAUUAAAUGGACAGAAGACGUGCUUUUUAGUAUAGGCUGCAUUGUUUGGAAGGCUCAUUCUUGUUUAUUCCUUCUCUCGUCUUGCGAAUUGUGCUUUCGUGUACAGUCCCUAUGUGGAAAAAUGAUUUUUCCUGAUUUCUCUCCGCUUGUGUUUCUGCGCUUUCCCCCUUCACUGCAAUUGCUCUUGAUCUGAACCUCUCGCAAAGGCCAGCGCACUGCUUUUUCAUGCAUUGAAACGAGAUAGAGGGAGUUAAGGGGCUGCCUGAUAGCAAACACAGUUGUGAUUGGCUGUGAGCAAGAAGAAAAGGUGGUUGCUUCCCUAGAGCUUCACUGCUCCUGGCUCUUUCAUCCACCCCUGCCCCCAUCUUGUGUGUCCUGAUAGCUUGAUGUCUGGUAUAAGUAGGCAGUUGACCCAUAUGUUAUGGGGGGGCGGGAAGCAAAGGGCUUUCCCUUGUGAACUGCCUUGCCACUCACUUGCUGAUCCUCCCUCUUUAAUUUGCAGUGUCCCACAGUGUUCUCUGUUUGUAGCAUAAUUCAGCCAUGCAGGAAACCAUCAAGAUUCAGAGCCACUCCCCCCCCCCCCGCAUUCUGGACUGUACCAUUGCGUGGUGCAGGGAGAAUAUUUUUGAGUGCUUCCCCUUCCAUCAAGUUUUCUCUAUGACUUGCCUGUCAAGAAGACUAUCCCAAGCCUAUCUCUCUGAUACGUUAGAUUUCUACAUACAGUGUUGCUGUUGUUGUUUUACUGUGCAGAGUACUAAAAUUCUCCCUUUUCUGCCAUCCCCCUUGGUUUACAAUCUAAGAUGGUACAGUCUAGAAUUCUGCCCCAGUCUGUCACAUCAUUCUUUGUAAUGUGUAGAUCAGAUUUUGGUGGUUGUUGUGAAGAUGAUGCAGCCAGACAAAACAAUCCUGAUUUGGGUCUCUUUCAAGGCAUGCUUCUAGUCCUCAUAGCUGUAGAACGUUGUUUUUGGCUUAGCGGAAAGAUGUGUUUGGAUGUUGAUAGCCUUUUUUAAAAAUAAUUUGAAGGUGAUAGCAAUGCUCUGCAUAGUGGAAACAAACAGAAGUAGGAAGGAGGGAAAACAUUGAAAUGUCCUUUCCAAAAACCGUGCAAAGGAGAGCGCCAUUGAGGCUGUCUGUUGAGUAAUUUCAGUGUUGCUUAGCUUGCUGUGGGCAUUGUGAUUGGUGAAAGAAUGCUUUGGAUGACGAGCCUAUCUGUCUGGAUUAAAAACAUGUAUUUAUGAACAGCUUUUAAAGUCAGCACUUGGGGGCAGGGAGGAGAGAGGAGGAGGAUCCAGCUUGGCAGGCAGCUGCUUUUGCUGUGGCCUCAGAGAUGAAUGGGGCCCAGGGUGGUUUAGCUGCAGAAUUGGUUUCUUUGGUGACUGUGUUAGCUUGGUGCUUCUUCUUGAGUUAUAGGCUUAAGGAGAGAAGGCUCUGGGCAGUCCUAGGGGGACACGUGGUCAAAGUGCCCAGCCCUGAAAUGAGCAGGAAUUUGCUUCCUGUUGAUCUCAGGAAGGUUAAACAGCUGCUUUCUAGGCCUUAGAAGCCACCUGUGUACUUGAAUGUAAAAUAGUGAGGCUCUUCAUUAAACACUUUUUUUAAUUUCAUUCUAAAGUGCUGGCUAAGUGAAAGCUUGGUAUGAGUUCUGUAUGGUAUGAACACAGGCCCUCUUCUGUAAAUUUUGCUUCCCUUUAUUGUACGGGUUCCAAAACAUUCAGCUGGAUGCAGCAUCUGUAGUGGAGGGUUUUCUAAGUGGCAGAGAAGAUCCUUCCCACACGCUUUUGGUCUAAAGCGGUUUGGCUUUUUUUCUAGGACAAAUGACUGAAAGGUAGCACUAAGCACAACUAUGCCUUCUCAUAAAUAAUGUGCUCUCAGUAGCUGAAAUCCUAUAUAAUUCCCACUGCUCCUCUUUCCCUUCAUGCUUGCAUAAAUGGUUUUAGAAUAAUCCAGUAUUUGAUUAACCAGUAGCGCUUUAUUGACUUGCCAGAUUUAGGAUUUAGCCUGACCAGUCUCUGCAACCUUUUCUCUUCAGCCAUGAUUUCCUGAAACACAGCCUUCCUUUCCCCCCUUUUCUCUUUUGAAUGUUACUAAAAUAAAUAAGCCAGCCAACCUCUGGGGAAUUAAGAAGAAUGCUGCAACCUGUCAAAGCUUGCAAGAAUCAGACACUCCUCUUGAGCAGUAGACAGAAUGCUAGUGGCUAUUAGUUAGUGUGUGGGGUUCCUAGGCUCCCAUGGCAAUCAAAAUGGUGAGAUGGAGGCAGUGUUUGUGCUGUUUGGGGAGGAGAGCUUUUUCCCAGUAACCCAGAGGGAAAGGCAUCUAUCUCAAGGAGUUAAAAGGUUCAGAGAUUGGUUCCACAGAGCUACUGCAGUGGCUAAGAGAUUGAGCGGUGAACCGGGAAAUAUCAGAUUCAAAUCUCACCAUGAACUCAGUAGAUGACUUCAAACAAGCCACCAUCCACCUUGGCCUGCUACCUUUUCUGAAAUAGGGGGAUGAUUGUAGUGACCUACUCCACAGGGUUGCUGUGAAUAUUAUUGAGAAGGUAUAAGAAGUACUUUUAUCGCUUUAAAGUACCGUACUAUAAAAAUGCAUGGUAUUCUCAUGUAACUAUAAAAAGGUGAAUGUGUUCCUUUUGAACAAGAAAGCAACCUCCACAUCUUUGUAUGUGUCACUUAUGUAGGUACAUCUCCACAUUGAAUCUGAAUGCUCUCCAUAUCUACAUGUGGCACGGAUCUUUCUCAGCCUGUCUCCUUGUGGUAGUCUUCUGGAGUAAUGGUUUUAACCUACCUAGGUCAGGGGGAAAUUUGCCCCUCCCCGUGUUUCAGAACCCAGCAUUUCAAUCAUGGUCAAUGGCUAGAGAUGAUGGGAGUUGUAGUUCAGAAACACCUAGCUGAUAUUCUGCUCUGUUGUUUCUAUGAAAUAUUUACAGUGGAACCUCGGUUUAUGAACACCUCGGUUUAUGAAUUUUCGGUUUAUGAACCCCGCGGACCCAUCUGGAACGGAUUAAUUCACUUUCCAUUACUUUUAAUGGGAAAGUUCGCUUCAGUUUAUGAACGCUUCAGUUUAUGAACAGACUUCCAGAACCAAUUGUGUUCAUAAACCGAGGUACCACUGUAUUUAAAAGCUAAUGUGGCAUAGUACUGUCCAGAUUACCAUGGCUUGGCAAGACCUCUGCUGGUAGAGCGUUGAAUUUAUUUGGAGUGCUACUUUGAGCAAUUAAUUUUGUUGAGCUAUUUUAAAUGGAAUUUGCCAAAAUCUACACUUCCGACAUGGCUUGCCAUACGUCUGGAUUUUUGCAGACAUUUAUCUGUCUCAAGACGAGUAAUCCAGACUGAUGUCUUGACCCCUCCUCCUCAAGGGCAGAAGAGGUUCAAGAUGCUUUGGGGAAGAGCUGCAGCUCAGUGGUAGAGCACAAUGUUUUGUGCAUAGAGGUUCCAGGGGUCAAUUGCUGGUGUGCCCAAGUAGGGUUGGGAAUGUUCCUUGACUGAAACAUUGGAUAGCUGCUGCCUGUCAGUGUUGACAAUAUUGAGCUAGAUGGACCUAUGGUCUGACUUAGUUUGGUAUAAGUACGGUAGCUUCCUAUGUACCAGUCCAAGAUCUCUGGUUUCACUUAUUUGUGCUAUAACCCAACCCAUCUUCAUGCUCUUAUGGUAGCAGAUGUGCUCAUGUCAAAAUACCUCAUUGCCUUGUUACUCUCUCAUCUAGUGGGAGAACAAAUGUUGAUUGCAUGUUUUGAGUAGUCUGCACAUAGAAUCAUACAAUUUAGAGUUGGAAGGCACCCUGAGGACCAAUCCCCUGUAAUGCAGGAAUAUGCAGCUGUCCUAUAUGGGGAUUGAACCUGUAACCUUGGUGUUACCAGCACCAUACUCUAACCAACUGAGCUAUCCCGACUGACUUGAUACAACAUGCAUGUUUAACUACUCUAACAAUACUAUUUGUAGCAGAGAUGGCUACCUGGGGGGCUUCUACAGGUUGCACUCCCAACUUCCAUCAGCUUCAUCCUCCAUAGCCAAUGUUCAGGAAUGAUGGGAGUUGAAGUCCAAUAGCAUUUUGAAGACCAUAGCUAUCAGAAUUCCUUGGACUCCUUAUUCCUGAUUAACAGGAAACCAUAAUGAUUAAGGACUCCUAAUACAACAUGGAGAACUUCACUAGAAUGAUGGAAAGACAAUGAAUUAUGAUGUCCUAAAGUAAAAAAUCAGCUAAUUGGCAAGUUCGCUGUGAACGCUAAACCCAUUGCUCUUUAAACCAGAGAGUGUACUGGCAAGUAUUUUGUCAUACUAUUGAAUAUGGACUAUUGAAUGAAGCCAUAUACUAUAUUAUGUGCUACUUCAAGGCAAGGACUAUUCUCGUGCUCCCAUGGUCCACUGGUUUCCUUCUAGAAACAGAAUGCAAGGACCAGCUUUAAACUAAGCAACCUUUCCUUGCCUCUUCGUCCAGUAACAUGAACUUUUCUCAUUGCCUUUAUAAUGGCUGGGUGAGUAUCCUCUGGGGGCUUGCGCUUUUCAGUCUGAUGUGUGUAUUAUACUUUAAGCUUAGAUGUACUUUAGACUUGCGGUUCAGAGCCUGUGGACCCCUUGGCAGAGGUGGGCGCCAAGCAUGGCGUUUUCUCAAAGUGUCUACAAGCAAUGUUCCUCCAACCAGCGCUUGACUUCUUCCUCCACACUCUUCAUUUUCACAGUGGCAUCUCCAGGAGAGCUGCAUUAACAUUGAGGAGCUUGUGAUCAUUGGAAAUAACGGGAAUGCAGGUCAGCAGCUUUGGCCUGUGCCUUCCUUGUUUUCCUUUGCUGGUGUGGUGUGAGGUGUACUUAGAAGAGCCUGCCCUCUCUGCUUUGUCUGCAGAGGUGUGUUGCACCUGUGGUUUUCUGGUCUCUUAUAUUGCACUACAUGUAGGACACGUGGUGGAAGGUGGAAUACAUGGCACACGUGGUGGAAGGUGGAAUACAUGGCACAACAGCUGGAAGGCCCUUAAUUUGAGUUUAGGGAGUUCUGUGGAUUGGCAGAAUUUCUGUUCUAAUUACUUAUUGCGCUUGAGUUCCUUAAUUUUAGCAUUAUUGGAGAUUAUUUCUGAUGCUUUAUUAGGAUAAAUCCUGUGCAUGCAGGUUAUGGGGGGGGAGUUUCUGGCUUUUUCUGGCUUAGGCCAUUUUGGGGGCAGAUUUUUAGGGGCUGUUUGUCAUUCCAUGUUACUGUUGCUGCUCAUGCGUGCAGGCUUCUGAAAAAAAGGGAAAAAAUACAAUAAUAGCUUUAUGUACAGGGAUUUCAUUAAAGUAUACAAUUGAUAGUCCUCCUGAUUCUAUGUGUAGGAAUACAUUACAUUAAUAACAACGAAUGUCUUCAUUUUCAUUAUUUUGGGGAUUACUUCAGUUGAGUUCCCUUGGAAAUAAAUACAUUUGUAUUUAGUUCAAUUGGAUUAGUUGGGUUGUUGGUCAUUGGGUAUACUGGGUAUGUAAAUGAAUGAAUUCAUAAUUAUAAAUACAGUCAUAUUUCAUGGCUUUUUGAAUUGAUUAAUUGCAUCGGUCAGUGCCUAUACUGGAGAAAAAAAUAAAUGAAUUUAUAAUUUAUGAAUACAUUUUAUAUUCAACAGCUUUUUGAAUUGUUUGGUUUGUUGAUUGAUAGGUACAUUGGAGAAAUAAAUGAAUGAAUUUUUGUUAUCUUUGACUUCGGCAACUCAUUUAAAAGCAUUAUUGAAUUUAUAAUAGUUUUUUUGUCAUUAUGUAUAUUUUCAAUUAAUGGAGCCUAAAAUUAUAACAGUGAGUAUGUUGGGAUCUGUGAAUUUUUUUUGAGAUUGAUAAGAGGUCCUUGUGCUCAAAAAUAUGGCAACAGCUCUUUUAGGCCAUAGCUGAGCUUUCAAGCCCUAGUGACUACUUUUCAAUGGGCAGUUUUGAACUAAGUUUUAUUCAGAGUAGACCUGUUAAAAUUAAUGAAUUAAAAUUAUUAUUCAUUAAAUUUAUAUACCACUUUUCAUCCUCCGUAGAUCUCAGGGUAGUUCACAGCAAAAACCCCCACAAAAUAUAUAAUAAAAACAGGAACAAAAACAAAACAAUACCCCUCCCCCCCCCCGGUGCUCCUACACCCCCUCACCUAGUUUAUUCAGAAACAAAUGGCUAGCACAGCAUUCUUGGUUUGUGUGGUUCCAGGAGGUGGUAUGGUGUUUGUGCAGACAGUCUCCAGUUAACUUGUUUGCCUCCUGGUGCCCUAGAGGAGUCUUGUUCAUCUUGUGGAGUAGCAGCUAAGAGAAGCAGUCAAGGGGGAAGUCCACAGGUGACUACUCAAUUGAGUUCUGCAUCAAUCUAGCUUUAUGCCACACUCAACCCCCUAUUUCAUAUGAAGUGCCCAUUCACAUGUUAAUUCCCAGGAAGCAAACUUGUUCUAGUAAGAAUCUUGAGUUCUUAUACAAGUCCUUUAGCCUGUCUCAGUAUGAACAAAAACUGAUCUGUGCAUAACAUUUAAUUGACCACCAUAGUAUCUUAUUGAUCUACCCAAUCCCAUUCCUUCUAAUCUAUUUCUGGAAACAACUGUGUGUGGUGCACUGUGGUCACAUGAAUCCAGUAUAUCCUACUCCAGACAUGGAGAACCUUUUGACCUUUCAGAUGUUGCUGAACUCCAGCUCCCAUCAGGCCCAGAAAGCGUGGCCAAUGGCCAGAAAUAACAGAAGCUGUAGUUCAGCAACAUCUGGAGGACCAAGGUUUUCCCACAGCUGGCCUAGUCCAUUCAGACUUUAUUCUCUGCAUACCGGUACAUUUCUCCUUUCCACAUGGGAAGAGCUAGAGGAUCCUACAUCUCUUCAUUUUGAGUCUCAUUUGCUGAGCAAGCACAGACUAUAGUUUGCCACUUCCAGUGAAAUGCUAAGCUAGUUUGCCUGAAAUCAUGGUAGGAGGAACACAUUAGCUGCUUCAGGCACGUAAUGCCAAACCACCAUUUAAAUACAGUGAUUAUGGUGGGCUUCUUGGACCUAGGGGCUAUUAAGUUAUUAGAUGCUAAGAUCCAGGAGACAUCCUGCUUGCCACCAUUUUGCAAAUGGCUCCUGCCUGAGGGAGGUUGUCUUUCCACUGAAAUAUUUCUCUUUAUCUGAACCUUCUUAAAUGGUUCCUACAGCAGAAUUCUUAGAAACAGGCCCCUCUAAGAAUAAAUUAUUUAAUCACCCUGUAGUGCCUUUUUCUUUAGAUGUUUUUACUGUAAGAUGCAGGAAUCUCUCCAGUUGAAUUAAAAUAUAAACAGAGAGCGUUCAUAGGUGGUAGCCUUUUAGUUUAGUUUAGGUUUUAGGUGAAGUCAAAGAAAAGGCAGUGAGUCUAGAUAUACUUGGAAAAAAAGAAAGAAACCCUGUGGAUCCCAGAAGGUUUUCAUCAUGAGCCCUAAAACUGUCGACACAUUGUUGGGGUACUUGGCUGACACUCCUAGUAAAACAAAAACAACUUGCAAGAGGUGCGUGGAACACCUUAAGUUCUUUUGUGACCACGCAAAGCUCACCUGGCAUAGUGGCAGAGAGGCUGAGCUGUUGCUGGUUCAUAUUCCUCUUUGCUCAUUGACAAAGGUGGGAUCUGCUUUGGGUGAGCUGGCAUGGCUCUUAGUCUGCAAUAUGGGCAGGAUACUUGUAAGGAUGACUGAGGGGGUGUCUGUAGAGGUCGAAGAAGAUUGUGGUAUGCUGCUUGAAUAAAAGGACUGGAGUUCCUGGCUAGGUUUGUGUGUAACAUGGUGCACAUUGCAAACACCUCCCAAAGACCAGGAGGCUUAAGUAAUCUGGUUCUUGGCAUUGACUCUGUGUGUAAUCUUCUACAGCCUGACUCUCUCUGCCCCACCCAUCUGCAGAGUGGAGGAUGGUGGUGGUUUUUUUACGUGCACCCAGGCUGAGCUGAAAAUACAUCAGCUGUAGAUGGAUCCAGAUGAAACAGUUGGCAGACAGGGAAGUUCUGGAUGACUGUCUCUUCCCUCUCCCUCUCUGAAAUAUGAGUAAAUGUUGGCAACCUGCUUGUACAUUCUGCUCCUUUUGGGGAGCCUUGUGGUUUGUAGUCCCCCUCCUCCCAAUUCUAGCAAUGCACAUUUUUGGAACACCUUUUUCUUACUGUACAUGGAGAAGCUGGUAGAGUGAAUCAGAGCAAGAAGCUCUGCGCUAUAGAUUUGCUUGGGUAGCGCUGCCUCCGUUCAGUAUUAUUUAGCUUCCCUCUAAUUAGCUGGCUUUAAAAGUCUGCCUCUUUCCAGAAUGCAUUUUUCACUUGUCCUACUUACUUCCUUAUAGGUCUUUCUCCCCUCCCCCUUGCUGGUUUCCCCCCCUUCUUCUUUUUUGCUGACACUGCAAACAAGCAUGAGGUUAGAUGCUCAACCGCACACAAACGAAUAUUGAUCUUUUCCCCCUUCUUUUUCCUUUUUCCUUUUUUGUCUGGAGGUUGGGAGGGUUUCUUCUGCCUUUGUCAGGGAAGGGACUGCCUUUGUGCCUGGGAAGGAGAAACAGCAUUAAGGAGGUUCUGGAAAUGUUCAGUUGGGUCUUCAGAGGGGAUGGCCCUAAUCUGCAGAAACAGCAACCCAAGCUCACUGGAAGCAGGCAAGGAUGGCCUAUCCCAGACAAAGGGACUCUGUGUGUGAGUGUGUGUGUGCGCCCGCCUGCCUAUCCCUUUGUUCUCUUGUACCAUACGCUGACACUGAAAGCUGCUUUCCUAUGGGCUGGGGGGUAGGGGGAGGAGACGGGGCAGGGUGUCUGGAUUGCAAGCAAAAUAAGAUGAAAGCCAGAAGAUCUCUGGCUCCAUUGUGACCCCAGUGGUGGUGGAAAAACCGCAGGGAUACUUUUGAAUCUUCCUUGUCUCUUCCCAAUCAGCUUAUUAAUGCACAUUGCUUAAAAGAAAUUCCCCUCUAUCUGGGGGACCUGAAGUUAAUCAGUAUUCUCCCAUGGAAGAAAGGUUUUAUCAUGGAAAGGCAGGCCUAUGUGAAGAGUCUUGUGUUGGUUAGCUAAAUCAUCAUUGGGCUUGUGUUCCCCCCUUAAAAAACAAAACAAAAACACUGUCCAGUUUGUUUGUUGCGUUAAUUUGAUAAUCACCCAGCUCCGGAAAUUUAGAUGACUGCUUUUGUUGUUGUUUACCAGCCUUAAGGUCAUGUUCUCCAACAAACAAUCCUAGCAGCCCAUAUGACAGCUACCGCAUGGCCUCUUAUGGUAGCUGGCCUUUUUGCAAGGAAAUAUUAAUUGAGAGACUGGUGCUUCUUCUGUACCCUCUGCUCUCUUACUACUACUUUCUUAAGACGCCCUGAAUUUUCCAUGUCUCCAGAAGAAAUUACUUUGAAGCUUGAGACGCCUUGGUGGAUAAGUGCAUAAGUUUGCAUUUGUGCCUUGAUUC